AUACAACCUGGUUUCCUAGCGUCUUUUUUUUUGUAGAUUCUCCUAUGUCUAAUAAGGCUUGGACUUCCUAGUCUCUCAGAGGAAUCACUGAUAGCCUGAAGACUAUGAUGUGACAGUGACGAAAGACUGCAAUAAAAGGCAGCUGAAACUUUUUGGGCAGAGGUUUCCACUUUCACAAGGCAACAGUGCAUAUGCUUGAUACAAAACCAGUGGGACUCAUUUAGUGACUUGUAACCUGGCAAUGAUUCCUCUGAAGCAUACCUGUGGUGCCCACAUGUGGAGUUUUGCCACUGAUUUCAAUAAGGAGAAAGAAGAGGGUUUACAGUGCUCCACUGGGGAAAAGGGCUUUUG
Molecule: long non-coding RNA, 351 nt
Filed under: Struthio camelus australis
Lineage: Eukaryota; Metazoa; Chordata; Aves; Struthioniformes; Struthionidae
Description: lncRNA (ENSSCUG00000008414.1)
Source: RNAcentral